RNAcentral lists this ribosomal RNA (156 nucleotides) under Inonotus hispidus. RNAcentral describes it as "5.8S ribosomal RNA". It matches the Rfam family "5.8S ribosomal RNA". Rfam says of the family: 5.8S ribosomal RNA (5.8S rRNA) is a component of the large subunit of the eukaryotic ribosome. Lineage: Eukaryota; Fungi; Basidiomycota; Agaricomycetes; Hymenochaetales; Hymenochaetaceae. The record is from RNAcentral.
UACAACUUUCAACAACGGAUCUCUAGGCUCUCGCAUCGAUGAAGAACGCAGCGAAAUGCGAUAAGUAAUGUGAAUUGCAGAAUUCAGUGAAUCAUCGAAUCUUUGAACGCACCUUGCGCCCCUUGGUAUUCCGAGGGGCAUGCCUGUUUGAGUGUC